Molecule: long non-coding RNA, 537 nt
Organism: Myotis brandtii (Brandt's bat)
Lineage: Eukaryota; Metazoa; Chordata; Mammalia; Chiroptera; Vespertilionidae
Exons: 2
Source: RefSeq, a predicted model, not a curated record
AGUCGUGCCGUUCAUGUCCUUCUCUUAUUCUAGACUGGAAAGAUCUGGCGGUUCAGGGAUCACACGUCUCACCUGCCAGGUGAUCCUAGCUCUGCCUUCCUUGGUGCAUGUGUCAUGUACUUAGGACCUGUUGUUCCAUUCCUGCUCCUGGGCUUGACAAGCCACACUGGCUGACUCACCUCUCCCCCUCUCUCCUGAGUUCCUCCUUUUCUUCCUCCGCCUGUAGCAUAUUUGCAUCCGAAGGUCUCCAUGCCCCUCAACCCCCUUCCUGCCUUCCCUCUGUGUGCUCACACUCCUGCUAUUCUCCCACGAGUCCAAGUUCAAAAUCCCACGUUCGUAUGUGGUUUCCUUCUCCGUUGGGCACCACCCUCCCUCCAAGAAUAAUAAAACUCUUUGAGUCCUAGCCUUGACCACACGUGCCCUCAGUUCAUGCCUGGACAUUUUAAGGGAUCUCCCAGUUAUGCCACCACCGUUUCAUGGGUGAUGAAGUUGCCAAACUUAUUUAUUCACUCACAUGCUUUCCUAGUUGCCCAAGAA